RNAcentral lists this long non-coding RNA (206 nucleotides) under Apteryx owenii (little spotted kiwi). RNAcentral's name for it is "lncRNA (ENSAOWG00000013540.1)". The record is from RNAcentral. Lineage: Eukaryota; Metazoa; Chordata; Aves; Apterygiformes; Apterygidae.
CAACAGAGGAAUGUUAAUAGUAGAGCUGGCAAAGAGCAAAUGAAACAAGUGCAAGGGAGCAAAUAAGGAUAAAGGACCCAAUCCUGUUUUGAGACGCUGACUACUUUUAACUCCUGUUGACUCCUAUUCCUAAUGAGCAGGACAUAGGACACCAAUGUGUGCCUGGAUACACUGAAAAAUAAGAAGUUAUCUCGGGUGGGUUUUUU